AGUGAACGCUGGCGGCAGGCCUAAUACAUGCAAGUCGAACGGCAGCACAGUGGAGCUUGCUCCAUGGGUGGCGAGUGGCGGACGGGUGAGGAAUACAUGGGAAUCUGCCCAGUCGUGGGGGAUAACGUAGGGAAACUUACGCUAAUACCGCAUGCGCCCUUCGGGGGAAAGCCGGGGACCUUCGGGCCUGGCGCGAUUGGAUGAGCCCAUGUUCGAUUAGCUAGUUGGCGGGGUAAAGGCCCACCAAGGCGACGAUCGAUAGCUGGUCUGAGAGGAUGAUCAGCCACACUGGGACUGAGACACGGCCCAGACUCUUACGGGAGGCAGCAGUAGGGAAUUUUGGACCAGGGGCGCAAGCCUGAUCCAGCCAUGCCGCGUGAGUGAAGAAGGCCCUCGGGUUGUAAAGCUCUUUUGUCCGGGAAGCAAAGCAUCGGGCUAAUACCUCGGUGUUCUGACGGUACCGGAAGAAUAAGCACCGGCUAACUUCGU
RNAcentral lists this ribosomal RNA (489 nucleotides) under uncultured bacterium. RNAcentral's name for it is "partial 16S ribosomal RNA". It matches the Rfam family "Bacterial small subunit ribosomal RNA", at positions 29 to 506 of the family's 1533-position model. The record is from RNAcentral.